UGGGGAAUUUUGGACAAUGGGGGCAACCCUGAUCCAGCCAUCCCGCGUGUGCGAUGAAGGCCUUCGGGUUGUAAAGCACUUUUGGCAGGGAAGAAACAGCCUGGGCUAAUAUCCCGGGCGACUGACGGUACCUGCAGAAUAAGCACCGGCUAACUACGUGCCAGCAGCCACGGUAAUACGUAGGGUGCAAGCGUUAAUCGGAAUUACUGGGCGUAAAGCGUGCGCAGGCGGUUCGGAAAGAAAGGUGUGAAAUCCCAGGGCUUAACCUUGGAACUGCACUUUUAACUACCGGGCUAGAGUACGUCAGAGGGGGGUAGAAUUCCACGUGUAGCAGUGAAAUGCGUAGAGAUGUGGAGGAAUACCGAUGGCGAAGGCAGCCCCCUGGGAUGAUACUGACGCUCAUGCACGAAAGCGUGGGGAGCAAAC
This 426-nucleotide ribosomal RNA is filed under the name uncultured bacterium. RNAcentral's name for it is "bacterial SSU rRNA". It matches the Rfam family "Bacterial small subunit ribosomal RNA", at positions 355 to 773 of the family's 1533-position model. The record is from RNAcentral.